GAAAUGCGAUAAUUAAUGUGAAUUGCAGAAUUCAGUGAAUCAUCGAGUCUUUGAACGCACAUUGCGCCCCCUGGUAUUCCGGGGGGCAUGCCUGUCCGAGCGUCAUUGCUGCCCAUCAAGCACGGCUUGUGUGUUGGGUCGUCGUCCCCUCUCCGGGGGGGACGGGCCCCAAAGGCAGCGGCGGCACCGCGUCCGAUCCUCGAGCGUAUGGGGCUUUGUCACCCGCUCUGUAGGCCCGGCCGGCGCUUGCCGAACGCAAAUCAAUCUUUUUCCAGGUUGACCUCGGAUCAGGUAGGGAUACCCGCUGAACUUAAGC
This 316-nucleotide unclassified non-coding RNA is filed under the name plant metagenome. RNAcentral's name for it is "partial contains 5.8S ribosomal RNA, internal transcribed spacer 2, and large subunit ribosomal RNA". The stretch from base 1 to 105 matches the Rfam family "5.8S ribosomal RNA", at positions 50 to 154 of the family's 154-position model. The record is from RNAcentral.